CUUCCUUGCGGCGUGCUAAUACAUGCAAGUCGAGCGAAUGGAUUAAGAGCUUGCUCUUAUGAAGUUAGCGGCGGACGGGUGAGUAACACGUGGGUAACCUGCCCAUAAGACUGGGAUAACUCCGGGAAACCGGGGCUAAUACCGGAUAACAUUUUGAACCGCAUGGUUCGAAAUUGAAAGGCGGCUUCGGCUGUCACUUAUGGAUGGACCCGCGUCGCAUUAGCUAGUUGGUGAGGUAACGGCUCACCAAGGCAACGAUGCGUAGCCGACCUGAGAGGGUGAUCGGCCACACUGGGACUGAGAACACGGCCCAGACUCCUACGGGAGGCAGCAGUAGGGAAUCUUCCGCAAUGAACGAAAGUCCGACCGAAGAAACGCCGCGUGAGUGAUGAAGCCUUCCGGGUCGUAAAACUUCUGUUGUUAGGGAAGAACAAGUGCUAGUUGAAUAAGCUGGCACCUUGACGGUACCUAACCAGAAAGGCCACGGCUAACUACGUGCCAGCAGCCGCGGUAAUACGUAAGGUGGCAAGCGUUAUCCGGAAUUAUUGGGCGUAAAGCGCGCGCAGGUGGUUUCUUAAGUCUGAUGUGAAAGCCCACGGGCUCAACCGUGGAGUGGUCAUUGGAAACUGGGAGACUUGAGUGCAGAAGAGGAAAGUGGAAUUCCAUGUGUAGCGGUGAAAUGCGUAGAGAUAUGGAGGAACACCAGUGGCGAAGGCGACUUUCUGGUCUGUAACUGACACUGAGGCGCGAAAGCGUGGGGAGCAAACAGGAUUAGAUACCCUGGUAGUCCACGCCGUAAACGAUGAGUGCUAAGUGUUAGAGGGUUUCCGCCCUUUAGUGCUGAAGUUAACGCAUUAAGCACUCCGCCUGGGGGAGUACGGGCCGCAAGGCUGAAACUCAAAGGAAUUGACGGGGGCCCGCACAAGCGGUGGAGCAUGUGGUUUAAUUUCGAAGCAACGCGAAGAACCUUACCAAGUCUUGGACAUCCUCUUGACAACCCUAGAGAUAGGGCUUCUUCCUUCGGGAGCAGAGUUGACAGGUGGUGCAUGGUUGUCGUCAGCUCGUGUCGUGAGAUGUUGGGUUAAGUCCCGCAACGAGCGCAACCCUUGAUCUUAGUUGCCAUCAUUUAGUUGGGCACUCUAAGGUGACUGCCGGUGACAAACCGGAGGAAGGUGGGGAUGACGUCAAAUCAUCAUGCCCCUUAUGACCUGGGCUACACACGUGCUACAAUGGACGGUACAAAGAGCUGCAAGACCGCGAGGUGGAGCUAAUCUCAUAAAACCGUUCUCAGUUCGGAUUGUAGGCUGCAACUCGCCUACAUGAAGCUGGAAUCGCUAGUAAUCGCGGAUCAGCAUGCCGCGGUGAAUACGUUCCCGGGCCUUGUACACACCGCCCGUCACACCACGAGAGUUUGUAACACCCGAAGUCGGUGGGGUAACCUUUUGGAGCCAGCCGCCUAAGGGGACAGAGUGG
This 1473-nucleotide ribosomal RNA is filed under the name Bacillus cereus. RNAcentral's name for it is "bacterial SSU rRNA". It matches the Rfam family "Bacterial small subunit ribosomal RNA". Lineage: Bacteria; Bacillati; Bacillota; Bacilli; Caryophanales; Bacillaceae. The record is from RNAcentral.